RNAcentral lists this ribosomal RNA (623 nucleotides) under uncultured bacterium. Its description in RNAcentral is "bacterial SSU rRNA". It matches the Rfam family "Bacterial small subunit ribosomal RNA", at positions 268 to 884 of the family's 1533-position model. The record is from RNAcentral.
CCAAGGCGACGAUCCGUAACUGGUCUGAGAGGAUGAUCAGUCACCCUGGAACUGAGACACGGUCCAGACUCCUACGGGAGGCAGCAGUGGGGAAUAUUGGACAAUGGGCGAAAGCCUGAUCCCAGCCAUGCCGCGUGUGUGAAGAAGGUCUUCGGAUUGUAAAGCACUUUAAGUUGGGAGGAAGGGCAUUAACCUAAUACGUUAGUGUUUUGACGUUACCGACAGAAUAAGCACCGGCUAACUCUGUGCCAGCAGCCGCGGUAAUACAGAGGGUGCAAGCGUUAAUCGGAAUUACUGGGCGUAAAGCGCGCGUAGGUGGUUUGUUAAGUUGGAUGUGAAAUCCCCGGGCUCAACCUGGGAACUGCAUUCAAAACUGACUGACUAGAGUAUGGUAGAGGGUGGUGGAAUUUCCUGUGUAGCGGUGAAAUGCGUAGAUAUAGGAAGGAACACCAGUGGCGAAGGCGACCACCUGGACUAAUACUGACACUGAGGUGCGAAAGCGUGGGGAGCGAACAGGAUUAGAUACCCUGGUAGUCCACGCCGUAAACGAUGUCAACUAGCCGUUGGGAGCCUUGAGCUCUUAGUGGCGCAGCUAACGCAUUAAGUUGACCGCCUGGGAGACG